CCUACGGGUGGCAGCAGUGGGGAAUAUUGGACAAUGGGGGGAACCCUGAUCCAGCCAUGCCGCGUGUGUGAAGAAGGCCCUCGGGUUGUAAAGCACUUUCAGUGAGGAAGAACGCCUGGUGGUUAAUACCCAUCAGGAAAGACAUCACUCACAGAAGAAGCACCGGCUAACUCCGUGCCAGCAGCCGCGGUAAUACGGAGGGUGCGAGCGUUAAUCGGAAUUACUGGGCGUAAAGCGCGCGUAGGUGGCUUGAUAAGCCGGUUGUGAAAGCCCCGGGCUCAACCUGGGAACGGCAUCCGGAACUGUCAAGCUAGAGUGCAGGAGAGGAAGGUAGAAUUCCCGGUGUAGCGGUGAAAUGCGUAGAGAUCGGGAGGAAUACCAGUGGCGAAGGCGGCCUUCUGGACUGACACUGACACUGAGGUGCGAACGCGUGGGUAGCAAACAGGAUUAGAUACCCGAGUAGUC
RNAcentral lists this ribosomal RNA (465 nucleotides) under Vreelandella stevensii. RNAcentral describes it as "partial 16S ribosomal RNA". It matches the Rfam family "Bacterial small subunit ribosomal RNA", at positions 338 to 795 of the family's 1533-position model. The record is from RNAcentral. Lineage: Bacteria; Pseudomonadati; Pseudomonadota; Gammaproteobacteria; Oceanospirillales; Halomonadaceae.